RNAcentral lists this non-coding RNA (107 nucleotides) under Neotoma lepida (desert woodrat). Lineage: Eukaryota; Metazoa; Chordata; Mammalia; Rodentia; Cricetidae. The record is from RNAcentral.
GUAUUGUAUGAAAGGAGAGGUUAGCACUCCCGUUUACAAGGAUAGAAGAGGCCCUUGGGCCUAACAACACAUACAUAAUUUAAAAAAAAAAACAACAAAUUAUUUCU